This 56-nucleotide transfer RNA is filed under the name Porphyromonas canoris. RNAcentral's name for it is "tRNA-Ile". It matches the Rfam family "tRNA", at positions 8 to 60 of the family's 71-position model. From Rfam's summary of the family: Transfer RNA (tRNA) molecules are approximately 80 nucleotides in length. The record is from RNAcentral. Lineage: Bacteria; Pseudomonadati; Bacteroidota; Bacteroidia; Bacteroidales; Porphyromonadaceae.
UAGCUCAGUUGGUUAGAGCGCUACACUGAUAAUGUAGAGGUCGGCAGUUCAAAUCU